AAGCUCGUAGUUGAAUUUCGGGCCUGGCUGGACGGUCCGCCUUCCGGGCGAGUACUGUCUGUGGUCGGGUCCUACCUUCUGGCGAAGCGUCAUGGCCUUAACCGGCCGUGGCGGGGAACCAGGACUUUUACUGUGAAAAAAUUAGAGUGUUCAAAGCAGGCAAUUCGCUUGGAUACAUUAGCAUGGAAUAAUGGAAUAGGACAAUGGUUCUAUUUGUUGGUUUCUAGGACUGUUGUAAUGAUUAAUAGGGAUAGUUGGG
RNAcentral lists this ribosomal RNA (259 nucleotides) under Paraglomus sp. MSLA-10. RNAcentral's name for it is "partial 18S ribosomal RNA". It matches the Rfam family "Eukaryotic small subunit ribosomal RNA", at positions 624 to 886 of the family's 1831-position model. The record is from RNAcentral. Lineage: Eukaryota; Fungi; Glomeromycota; Glomeromycetes; Paraglomerales; Paraglomeraceae.